CGAUGAAUGAAGUUCUCAGUUAAACGAAAACAUUGGCGGUUUGAUUCUUGCGUGUUGCUUGACACCUUUUUAAAUCGAAGGAGAUUUAUAUUUAAGAAAUCAUUGCCCAGAGUAGUGCAAUGUUUUUAUUUGGUGUUAGAGGACAAUUAAUAGCUGAUCAGUCUCCAUUCUCCAACGGGAAAACGCUAAACCCACACGGUCGAUCACAAUUGUUUAAAGGGGACCUGAUUCCAAUGGCCGGCGAUCCAAAUUCCAUAAGCACCUCUCUGAAAUUCUCCACUCACCCCAUGGUUGCAC
RNAcentral lists this unclassified non-coding RNA (297 nucleotides) under Hevea brasiliensis (rubber tree). Lineage: Eukaryota; Viridiplantae; Streptophyta; Magnoliopsida; Malpighiales; Euphorbiaceae. The record is from RNAcentral.